AGUGAACGCUGGCGGUAGGCCUAACACAUGCAAGUCGAACGGCAGCACAGGAGAGCUUGCUCUCUGGGUGGCGAGUGGCGGACGGGUGAGGAAUACAUCGGAAUCUACUUUUUCGUGGGGGAUAACGUAGGGAAACUUACGCUAAUACCGCAUACGACCUACGGGUGAAAGCAGGGGACCUUCGGGCCUUGCGCGAUUGAAUGAGCCGAUGUCGGAUUAGCUAGUUGGCGGGGUAAAGGCCCACCAAGGCGACGAUCCGUAGCUGGUCUGAGAGGAUGAUCAGCCAGACUGGAACUGGGACACGGUCCAGACUCCUACGGGAGGCAGCAGUGGGGAAUAUUGGACAAUGGGCGCAAGCCUGAUCCAGCCAUACCGCGUGGGUGAAGAAGGCCUUCGGGUUGUAAGGCCCUUUUGUUGGGAAAGAAAUCCAGCUGGCUAAUACCCGGUUGGGAUGACGGUACCCAAAGAAUAAGCACCGGCUAACUUCGUGCCAGCCGCCGCCGUAA
RNAcentral lists this ribosomal RNA (506 nucleotides) under uncultured bacterium. RNAcentral describes it as "partial 16S ribosomal RNA". It matches the Rfam family "Bacterial small subunit ribosomal RNA", at positions 29 to 523 of the family's 1533-position model. The record is from RNAcentral.